UUAUGUCAGGUGGAAACGUCUUGAGCAUUUCGACGACGUACCACGAGAAGCUUUGUUUUGAAACUUCUUCGCUGUGUAUAGAUUGCAUGUUUGUCUCGUGGAAACAGUGUUAUUUGUGCCAAGUGCUUGUAGAAUCGCAGUUUAUGCGAUGAUAUUUUGUUUUUAAGUUUAAUGUAUUGUGUACAAUCACGGUCGUUAACAAGAGGAAUGCACGCAGGUCGAGUAUUGUCAGUAAAAGCUUAUGUCAUCGUCUCUACAGUAAAGAAUGAAGACAAGAUGGUCAUGUAUCCCUAGGAGAAAUCAAUUCAUCUCCAUCAUCACGGCACUGAUGAUGGAGGCAGCAAGGACACAUCAGUAAACUUCUACAGGACUGAACGGCGGAACAACCCAGAAGACAGAAGUCUUCACUUUAUAUAUUAUAAUCCUGAUGGCCUUCCAAGUUCUUUUCUGAUAAAGGAUAAUAAUUUUGCAGAGUCUUUUGUUCAAUUAACAUUUUUAAUUUCAAUAAAUUGCUACUCUGUGCUAUAAUUUCUAUUGCACAAUAA
Zootermopsis nevadensis is the source of this 545-nucleotide long non-coding RNA. RefSeq lists it as uncharacterized. The record is from RefSeq and is a predicted model, not a curated record. Lineage: Eukaryota; Metazoa; Arthropoda; Insecta; Blattodea; Termopsidae.